Molecule: ribosomal RNA, 408 nt
Filed under: uncultured bacterium
Lineage: Bacteria
Description: partial 16S ribosomal RNA
Rfam family: Bacterial small subunit ribosomal RNA
Source: RNAcentral
GACGAACGCUGGCGGCGCGCCUAACACAUGCAAGUCGAGCGAAGCGGCGAACGGGUGAGUAACGCGUGAGGAACCUGCCUCUCACAACGGGAUAGCCACGGGAAACCGGGAUUAAUACCGAAUGGUGAGAGAUGGCCUCGCGUCUGAUUAGUUAGUUGGGGGGGUAACGGCCUACAAAGACGACGAUCAGCAACCGGCCUUGGGAGGUGACCGGUCACCUUGUAGCUGAGACACGGUCCAAACUCCUACGGGAGGCAGAAGUUGGGAAUCUUGCACAAUGGGGGGAACCCUGAUGCCGCGACGCCGCGUGGGCGAUGAAGGUUUUCGAAUCGUACAGCUCUGGCCUAUGGGAAGCGGUACCAUAGGAGGAAGCCCCGGCUAACUACGUGCCAGCAGCCGCGGUAAUAC